UGGCGGGCGGGUGAGUAAUGUCUGGGAAACUGCCUGAUGGAGGGGGAUAACUACUGGAAACGGUAGCUAAUACCGCAUAACGUCGCAAGACCAAAGAGGGGGACCUUCGGGCCUCUUGCCAUCGGAUGUGCCCAGAUGGGAUUAGCUAGUAGGUGGGGUAACGGCUCACCUAGGCGACGAUCCCUAGCUGGUCUGAGAGGAUGACCAGCCACACUGGAACUGAGACACGGUCCAG
RNAcentral lists this ribosomal RNA (235 nucleotides) under uncultured bacterium. Its description in RNAcentral is "partial 16S ribosomal RNA". It matches the Rfam family "Bacterial small subunit ribosomal RNA", at positions 96 to 334 of the family's 1533-position model. The record is from RNAcentral.